This is an RNA transcript of Ctenopharyngodon idella (grass carp), 6138 nucleotides long. It is a transcript of the gene named SNF2 histone linker PHD RING helicase, with no coding region annotated. Lineage: Eukaryota; Metazoa; Chordata; Actinopteri; Cypriniformes; Xenocyprididae. The transcript has 30 exons. The record is from RefSeq and is a predicted model, not a curated record.
UUCAGACUGACGUCGCUUCCUGUAUUUUAAAUAUGGCGGAUAAACGCAUGAGAAUGUCCCGCUGGUUUUGGAGCUUAUAAAAGUUAUUUUAUGACAUUUAUUUGCGGCUGAUAAGAACACAUCCCAAAGCAAAACAAAGGUUUCCACUAUGAGCAGCAGGAGGAAACGCGCGCCGCCGGUGCGCAUGGACGAGGAGGCCAAGAGGAGAGUGGAGUGGAAUAUGCUUGAAGAUCGGAGAAAUGAAGGAGAUUGUGAAGACAUUCAGGAGUCAAUCCCAGCACCGUCAGACAGCUGUCAACCUGGACCAGUGAUUGAGAGCAGCCAGGAAGAGGAAAGCCAGUGUUUUAUAUCUUCUGCAGGCACAGAAGAAGGACCAUCAGAAGAGCAUCCAAGCUGCUCCAUAAAGGAUUCUCUUCCUGAUACCAUAGAACUGAAUGUCAUGCCUCUUUCUGCUCUCGAACAGGGAUGGAAUGCGCUGAUUGGAGAGUUUAACCUGUAUCCAAAGAUUCCUUUUGUGCUUGGAGACGAUUCCUUCUGCCUGCAGCAAACAGGUGACACACUAACUUUGAGACUGAAUAGUGAUGAAUUGGAGGUUGAGACGGGCAGAAGUGAUCCUGUCUGUCCUGUGCCGAUUGAAUGUUCCUUUGGUGGAAAAUUGUUGGAGGAUCUGGAUUGGCUACAAAAGAGAAAGGUCAUUAAAUUGUGCCAUGCUUCAGGAGAUGUAUCAGUGAAGCUGAAAAUUUUUCUUCUCGAAUCCGGGUUGGGCAGACCAGAAUUCCUCAGUGAAGGAAAUGGGCGCAUUAAAAAAGCCAGUCAGCUUCUGCAGAAAUUAAUGGAAUUGUUUCAUGACUUCGUCAUCCCUGAGGUGAUGGAGAAUGAAGAGGAGGAGUGUGACACUGAUCUGGAGCGUCAGAACGUUGAGGAGCUGUACGAUCAUGUUAGACACCUCCACCAGACAGAAGCAGUGGAGCAGAGCUUCGACGUCCAGCACCCUGGCCUCAUACCUGUGCUGAGACCCUAUCAGAGUCAGGCGGUCAGCUGGAUGCUGAGGAGAGAGAAGUACAAAAGCAGCACCACUCAAGAGCAAAGGUUGCAUUUUCUUUGGAGGGAAAUGGUCACGAUUUGUGGCAAAAAACUCUUUUACAAUCCCUACACCGGAUGCUUGAUCCGAGAGUUUCCUCUUGCUGGUGUGGACUGGCCUGGCGGGAUCCUUGCUGAUGAGAUGGGGCUUGGGAAAACCGUGGAAGUACUGGCCCUUAUUCUGUGUAACACCCGGCAAAACCUGGAGCACGGGGUUCUCACUUUACCUGUGGGACGAUCUGUGAAUUACUUUGUCCCUCCUCCACCAUUAGAGAGACAACGAACCAUUAAACAUGAGGUGAGACCCAAGGAGAAGAUCAUUUAUCCAGCUGUUCGUGAGAUGCUGUUGACUGCGAUCAAGGAAAUGAAGGUUGGGAAAGGAGCGUCAAUCAAUGCCAUUUUUGCAUAUUUACGGACCAUGUACAAGUACGACACCCUAAAGAACCGUAACCACAUAAAGAAAAUCUUGACCAAACUCAUUAGUGAGAACAUUGUGGAACAGAUCAAAGGACGAGGGCUAGCAGGAUCCUUCAAACUGGGGAAGAACUACAAAGAAAAGAAGAAGAAGCCCGCCGCUCAUCGAACUAAAUCUUUUGACAAGGCCACUCCAAGGAGAACAUCUCGUCGAGUUUCUUCUCAGGAUAAAGAGGCAUCGCUGACCUCUUAUACCACAGCUUCAGAUUCUGAAGACAAUGUUGAACCUCCUCUCCUGACAGAGGAACUGAAGUGUGAGCCAGAUUCCCUUCUGGACGCAGAGAAUCCACAACAGAAGACGUCAGUAGACAUCACAGAUGAAGAUGAUAAAGAAACCGCAGACAAACCCCAACAUAAAAUGACAAAAAACAUCCAUAUCGAGAGUACUGAAUCAGAUCUUACACAAAACUUAAAGCCUGAACUCGAAACCCCAACUAGAGCGUCUGUGAUCCCGUUUAAUACUUCAGAUUACCGCUUCGAGUGCAUCUGUGGAGAGCUUGGGUUGGUGGACUAUAAGCCACGGGUUCAGUGCCUCAAUUGUCUGCUGUGGCAGCAUGCAGAGUGUGUCAACUACAAAGAGGAGAACCUAGAAACCACUCCGUUUUAUUGCCCUCAUUGCCUGGUGGCAAUGACACCUGUGUCUACUGGAGCCACUCUUAUCAUCUCACCCAGCUCCAUCUGUCACCAAUGGGUGGAUGAAAUUAACCGGCACAUUCAUACUUCCUCCCUUAGAGUGCUGGUGUAUCAGGGUGUGAAGAGACAUGGUUUCAUCCAGCCCCACAUUCUGGCGGAGCAGGAUGUGGUCAUCACCACUUACGAUGUGCUGCGCACUGAACUCAAUUACGUCGACAUCCCCCACAGCAACAGCAAAGACGGCCGUCGAUUCCGCAACCAGAAGCGCUACAUGGCCAUACCGAGCCCUUUAGUGGCCGUGGAGUGGUGGCGUGUCUGCUUGGAUGAAGCUCAGAUGGUGGAGUGCACCACAGCUAAGGCAGCAGAGAUGGCUUUGCGUCUCACAUCUGUUAAUCGUUGGUGUGUCAGUGGAACACCUGUGCAGAGAGGUUUGGAAGACUUGUAUGGUCUUGUCCUGUUUUUGGGAGUUGAUCCCUAUUGGGUGAAGUACUGGUGGGACCAGUUACUCUAUCGCCCGUACCGCCACGGCAAUACAGGACCACUCUACAAUGUCAUUGGUCAAUUACUGUGGCGAUCUGCCAAAAAAGAUGUCAUUGAUCAGAUCCAAAUCCCCCCUCAAACAGAAGAGAUCCACUGGCUUAACUUCUCCCCAGUAGAAGGACACUUUUACCACCGUCAGCAUGAGGUUUGCUCCCAGGAUGCUCUUGUAAAGCUAAGAAAGAUCUCUGACUGGUCACUAAAGUUGGGUAGUUUGGACCGACGUACCGUCUCUACCAUAUUAUACCCUCUCCUGCGUCUACGUCAGGCCUGCUGCCACCCGCAAGCUGUCAGAGGAGAAUUUCUGCCCCUCCAGAAGAGCACAAUGACAAUGGAGGAAUUGUUGAAGUCAUUGCAGAAGAAAUGUCGGGUGGAGUGUGAAGAAGCCCACAGGCAGCUGGUGUGUGCUCUAAAUGGUCUGGCUGGCAUCCACAUCAUUAGAGGAGAGUUUGCAGAUGCAGCAGAGAUGUACAGGGAAGUGUUGCGAUCAUCUGAAGAACAUAAAGCAAGACUGAAAACUGAUUCCCUUCAGAGGCUUCAUGCAACCCAUAAUCUGAUGGAGCUUCUAAAUGCAAAGCAUCCUGGGAUUCCUCCAACCCUGAGAGAUGACAGUCUCAAAGAAGAGGCUGAGCAGCUGAAGCAGCAUUACAUGGCAAAGGUGAAUUCUGAGGUUUCUGAAGCACAUCAGAACCUGCAACCUGUUCUUCAGCACAUUAAAGAGCUAAAACGCAAGGUGAACCUUCGCUCUCCCUGGUGGCUGGAUGUCAUACAGCAGGCCAUUCAGUACUCCAUGGAUGACGACCUGGUGGGUCGCAUCCAAAAUGAGCUCACUUGCAGCUAUAAACAACAAGCCAACAAGCUUUCAUUGGCAGACAAGUUUCGAGAUGCUCGUGGUCUUCAGUUUUUGCUCAGCACUCAAAUGGAUGAUUUGAUGAAAUCACAGAAAACGGUCCAGGAUGCUGUAAAGAAGCUGGAGGGGCCGCCAUCUCAGCAAGUCAUCGAGGAAGCGACACUUUGCCACCUGCGACCUGUUCGUCUGCCACUGAACAACUGUGUGUUUUGCAAAGCUGAUGAACUUUUUACGGACUAUGAAUCAAAACUGUUCUCUCACACAGUAAAGGGGCAGACAGCCAUCUUUGAGGAGAUGAUUGAAGAUGAGGAUGGUCUGGUAGAUGACAGACUCCCCACGACCAGUCGGGGGUUGUGGGCGGCCAGUGAGACAGAACGGGCCCUUAAAGCCAUCCUGUCCUUCGCCAAAGUCCGCCGCAUAGAGUCUGGCCUUAUAGAGGAGGGAAGCUCCUUCAUGGAGCUCUUUGAGUCCUGGAAGAAAGAAUAUAAGCUGCUGCAUGAGUACUGGAUGUCACUGCGGGAUCAUGUGUCAGCCAUAGAUGAGCUGGGCAUGGCCACCGAAAGGAUGCGUGUGCGGUUACCUGAUGAGCCCAAACCCAAAGUGCUGCAUAUCAUAGAACCUCACGAGGUGGAGCAGAACAGGAUAAAGCUGCUUAAUGAUAGGGCAGUGGCCAAAUCACAACUGCAAAAAAAGCUUGGGCAGUUUCUCUAUCUCACAAACCUGGAAAAGUCUCAGGAUAAGUCCACUGGCGGUCUGAAUCCAGAACCAUGCCCAAUCUGUGCUCGACCGUUGGGUCAGGAGUGGGCCGUACUGACCUGUGGACACUGUUUCUGUAACGGGUGCAUCGCCAUCAUCGUGGAGCAGUACAGCGUUGGCAAUCGACGGAGAGCUAUAAAGUGCGCCAUAUGCCGACAAACCACUUCACAUUCAGAGAUUUCAUAUGUGUUCACCACUCAGAGUGCCCACCAGGGGCAGGACAUCCCUGUGAAGGGUAGCCACUCCACGAAGGUCGAGGCUGUGGUUCGAGUCCUAAAGAAAAUCCAGAUGACCAACCCGGGAGCCAAGUCUCUUGUGUUCUCCACGUGGCAGGGCGUCCUGGAUAUCAUUGCAAAAGCCCUUUUCGACAACAACAUGGAGUUUGCACAGAUCAACGGAAUUCACAAAUUUCAGGAGAACCUGAGUGCUUUUAAAUACGAGGAUAAGAUCAACAUCUUGCUGUUGCCACUGCACACGGGCUCAAACGGGUUGAACAUCAUCGAGGCCACACAUGUGCUGCUGGUGGAGCCCAUCCUAAACCCCGCCCAUGAGCUGCAGGCCAUUGGAAGAGUGCAUCGGAUUGGCCAGACCAAGUAGGCAUCAACCAUGUUCAGCCUGCUCCAAUACAAGUUGCUCACAUGAGUUUGAAUCACAGCAUUUCUCUUGUAUCAAUAAAAUGGCACAAAUUCCAAAAAGACCCACAUUUGUUCAUCGGUUUCUGAUCAAGUCCACCAUUGAGGAGCGAAUGCAAGCCAUGCUAAAAACAGCAGAAAAGAGUCAUAGCUCCACGUCCAUGAAGCAUUCGGAGGCCUCCGUAUUUACAGUGGCAGAUCUGGCCGAGCUGUUCACAGAGGAUAGCGAGGCUCUUGAGUAAAUGUCUCUUUAGACCCAUCAGUCCAGAGGCCAGUAAUGUGAACACUACACUAACACCAGCCAGGAGACAAGCUGCCCACUGCUCUCCAGCACUCCAAUAUGUUUGCUUUGCACAUUCCCCUUUCUAUACGGUCUAUCUCAUGGUGUAAUUUAUUCAUUAUACUCAAUGUGGAAAAGAAAAUGAUUUAAUGUAUCAGUCUUGUAUCUGUUUUCUAGAUUGAUUGAUAGUGGGUGCAAUUUUUAUUAAUACCUUGUUGUGCAUAAAUAAAUGUUUUUUAAUAAUGAUUAAUGAUCCGUAUUUAAAUUAGAAUACAUUUCUAAUGUUAAACAUGCUGUACAGUGGAUUAGUUUUAUCAUUAGCACUCAUGUAUUUGUGAUUAAUUGAACAAACAUUUUAUAAGAAGCCCACUGUAAUCACAGUCUGUCAAUCUGUACUGUAAAGUUGAUAAAACACAACAUGUGACAUUUUAUUGGAAAUAUGCACUUGUUUUAUUUUUAAUCUAAAUGCAUUGUAUGGGAUUUUCCAUUGUUUAAGAAGGAAAUAGUUUGACUUUACAGCACUAAUCUUUGUCGGAGUGUCUUCCGUUCAGAUGCUCCAUUUAGUGGAUUGUCUGUGUAAAGUUGUAGCAGACCAUUUUGAACAUUUAUCUGGUGCUAUUUGCAAGACAAAAGACACCUGAUUCAGUGUCUGUAAAACUCAUCCAAUAAAGAGCCCUUGUAAAAAGUAAAAACAGAAAGUAAAAGGGAAAAAAAAGAGACUUUCUUUGUCUUGGAAAUACCAUGUACAAAGACAGAGAAACUGAAUUCUUUCUGUUAAGCUGUGUUAAAAAACUUUAUAACAUCUUUCACAUCAGUUUGUGAUAACCAAAAUACAGUCUUACACAUUUUCAAAUGGACGAAAAUUACCAAUAAAUUUCCUGUUUACAAAAAGAGAA